AAAAUAAAGCUAUAGAUUAGCAUUUCACUUACGUUGAGAAGAAUAUUCGAGCAGAAUCGAGUUGUUUUGAA
This 71-nucleotide transfer RNA is filed under the name Engaeus cunicularius. RNAcentral's name for it is "tRNA-Val". Lineage: Eukaryota; Metazoa; Arthropoda; Malacostraca; Decapoda; Parastacidae. The record is from RNAcentral.